ACAGAUUGAAAUUUGCUUUCUGCUUCUUGAUUUCAGAAGCAAUCUUUCUAGUGCCUCUUGUCCAAGAAUCUUAUCUGUGUCACUUGAAGUGAUGGCUGCUAAGCUUCUUGCAAACUUGAUUGUGAUGGGCUCUGGAAUCUUGGCUAGGGCAUUUGUCCAAGGAUACCGUCAGGCACUUGCAAAUGCUUCCAAAUCUGGUGUUGCCCAAGAAACAGUGCAGAAUAUUAGGAGAGCAAGCAAAAUCAUGGCUGAACCAGAAGCAAGGCAGAUUCUAGGCGUCAGUGAGCAUUCAACAUGGGAGGAAAUCUUACAGAAGUAUGAUAACUUAUUUGAGAGGAAUGCCAAGAAUGGGAGCUUUUACCUGCAAUCAAAAGUUCAUAGAGCUAAGGAAUGCUUAGAAGCAGCAUACCAGAAGAAAGG
RNAcentral lists this unclassified non-coding RNA (420 nucleotides) under Hevea brasiliensis (rubber tree). Lineage: Eukaryota; Viridiplantae; Streptophyta; Magnoliopsida; Malpighiales; Euphorbiaceae. The record is from RNAcentral.